This is a non-coding RNA of Rattus norvegicus (Norway rat), 9548 nucleotides long. The record is from RefSeq and is a predicted model, not a curated record. NCBI's taxonomy places the organism in Eukaryota, Metazoa, Chordata, Mammalia, Rodentia, Muridae.
GCACACUUAUCUGGCAGUUCUGGAGACCAUGAAAACCUGAUUUUUAAAGAGCGUCCACACAACUUCUCAAAAAUCAUGAUGUGUCUGACAAAGUGGAAGCUUCUCGUAAAGUAACAGAGCUUGAGAAUGAACUGAACACUAAGUGAGAAGAGAGAGGUCACCUGUACUCAAGCAGGUCUGACCUUGGCAGUCGAUUUGUGGGGUGGGCCUGAAGAGGAAGGAACAAAUGUCCUUCUAAGUGAUGUUUAAUUUCUUUUUCUGAAAUGGUUGCAAUUGAGAGAUGUUCCACAUCCAAGAAAUUUUGUCUUACUUUACCAAGAAAAAUCCUGCCUAGUUCUUAGUGAUCUGACUAAGGUGAAGUUACCCGUUCUUGUUAGCUUUGGCACUCUUGGACCCAGAAGGCAGAAUGAAGGGCUUUAAACAUGACAGGGUGUUUCCUCUACCCUACCUUUUCCAUUGUCAUUCCAAGGGCAGUAGGCCUAGAUAUUAUCUUUCUGUUCUUUCUCCAAACUCCAUUUUCCUACCAGACAGUGAUAGCCGAAAAUUUCAGAGCACUACUGUGUCAUAAUGGACCUUGUCUGCAGGAGACAGGCCUCUCAGCCUAGGGCAUUCCUGUGUCAUUGGGGACCCUGUAUGCAGGAGACAGGUCUCUUGGGGCAGGUGAAAUGAUGCCUGUACGUUCUUUAAUUUACAUGAGUGGGCUACAAGUAGUUUUUUUAUGUAAGGCGCACAACACAUCAUUCAUCUAAAAUGUGAGCCUCCUGAUCCAAUGUAAAUGUUUGAGAUUGAAUAUCUAAUUCAUAAUUUAAUUUCCAAAAUUCUAGAGAAAGGUUUCAGAUUUGAUGCUAGGGAUUUUAUUUUUAUCAAUUCAAAUCACCAGAACACUAAUCAUUAGUGGAAAGCAAAGGUGACAGUCCUGUUAGAGAGCUAACUAAUACUUCAGAGGUUCCAAAGGCUGUAGAGCUCUCACAGCAUUACACAGACAACAUUCUUGCAGGUUGGAACAAAGACGUCCAAGAUAAAUGGGAGCUCAUGGGUGGCUGUCAAGCACAGCAAUCUCAGAAGUUGUAAAUUUAGUAAAGAGAUUUAUAAAAACUGUCAGGAAAGGAAGAAGCGUGUUGCUGUGCCCCCUGUGACUUAAGUGCUAUAAGAAAACUUGUGUCAGUUGAGUCUGCAUCUCUUUCUCAGCGUAACAGAUUUAUUUAAUUUUAAUUCCUGAAUUUUGCAUCCUCAUUCCUCAGUUGAGCUAUGGGAGAAAGGCCUCAGUUUGCUUAUUUUGUGUGAAAGGUGACUUUAUGAUUUCAACACAUUUUCUUUUUCAGAAUCUCUAAUAUGGUUUUAGAAGAACUUUCUGUUCCAUAGAAAUCUGUGCAUCAGGGAAAUAAUCACAAUUUUAAAUAAAACGGAAGCAUUUGAAACCCAAAAAUUCUUUUUAAUAAGAGCUGUACGAUCAAUUGUUGAAAUACAACCAUUAGUAUUUUUUACGUUUAUGAGUUUCCUAUUUGAAAGCGUGUCUUUUUUUUUUUUUCCUCUGUAAGAGAAUAGAGUGUUCCAGAGAGCUGAUGAAGGAUUUGCACACUUGUCUUGCCCAGGAAGUGCAUUCUCCUUGUGUCUGCAGCACAUGGGCAGCCUUUGAUAGCAUAAAAAGAAGCCUUUGAUACCUCCCAAAGAAGAGCAGGUACCUGCUGUCCCUAGUGCAUGGGAAGACAGAUGCACUCAAGAACCUGCAAGCAUCUGAAAACACUGCAUGUGUGUUUGUGAGACCUGUAGUGAAGUAGACUUGGCCAUCCCUGGACAGUGAGGUCAGAUGUGAAUAAGUGUUGCAAGAUCACAUUGAAUAGCAUACACUACUGUUGGGAAAUGUUUUCCUAAGGCCUGGACUCCCCAAACUACGCACAGAUAAGCCAUUGCCUUAAAGGUCUUCUGGCCAUUCACGUUUCAAAUGUAAGUGGCCACUCAGUACUGAUGGAAGGAAGGUAUGUUUUAUUAUCAUGGCACAGGAUACACUGAUUCGUUCCAGCUGGCUGAAGGGUCAGUGGGAUGUUGUGUCCCCUCACCCUCAUGACUACUGUGCUUUAGCACGGGGAGCAGGACAGUGUCCAAAUCUCAGGGUUUGGGUGAAAUGUAAGGAUGGAGUUGGGAAGUUGCUGGUCAAAGGAUGUAAAGUUCAGAUGAACAGGGAAUGACUUUGAGUACUGUUACCUGUAGCCUAUGACACUCAGCAGUGUCCUAUAAAUAAUGCAAAGGAACUUUAAGAAAGGGGAAUUAUGUUUGAGGGUUUAAAAAGCUGAGAUGGGUAUUCAAUGCCACAGUAAAUUGAUUUGUAUUUUACAAGCACUGUAAAUGCGAAGGAUCCUGAAAGGUAGCCUGGAAAACUCCAGUGUAUGGGCAUAGACUCAUGCGCGCGCAUGAGUGGCUAAUGAACGAUACCCGCCCCUCCUCUCUCGGACUUAGCCACGCCCUUCAUUAGUUCCUGAGGGGAUUUUUCAGAACAGAGGUUAUGGCAGUUUCACUAUCCAAUUCCAGUGAGUAUGAGGGGAGCCCAUGGAGUUUGAAACCACUCCUUUCUGCUCUCAGGGAUGUGGGGAAAAUAAGAGAAUUUGGGUUGGCUUAGUAGCACUAUUUUGUGAGUCUUAGCUUGAGUUCCCUCGGGAUGGAGACCAACUGCUUCUUUUCCGAAUCUUAGGGAAGUUGACAUGUUUUCUCCCAACUGUCCUUAUGGCUCCUUCCUCCAUCUCCCGCUUGGGGCCUCUGUGGACUCUCAUUUGCUGCAUCAGCACAUGAAGGUUCCCUGACUUGGCACCUCCUUAUGCUGAACAUCAGCAGACUCCAUACUGAGUAGGAUUUGUUUGUACAGCUGUUAAUACCAAUAAUUAUGUAACCCUACUCGAUGCCCUCUUAGAGCACGCCGCAGAAAAAUAGAUUGAAAAAGUGAAGAAAAAUAUAAACAUCAUGUGUGGUAAUGGCUCCCAAGCAAAGAAUCUGAACCUUACAGCAGCCCCACCUAAGGUUUAUGAACAGGAAACCGGGAAGGGGAAUGACAUUUGAAGUGUAAGUAAAGAAAUGUAUAUAAUAAAAAAUUAAAAAACAAAAAAAGACAAACAAAGAGGUCUAUGCUGUGAAUAUAAUCAGAAAGAUGAUCUUAUCUGCCUCUUUUGUGUGUGUGUGUGUGUGUGUGUGUGUGUGUGUGUGUGUGUGUGUGUUUUACCUUGACUUCCGUAGUCAAUGGAGUUCAGAUAACUGUAGGAAUGCAUUUUAUGGUUUAGAGGCACUGAUAGGAUCAUUCCUUUACUUAUGCUCCCCCUACUAGUUUUCUCACACAUAUCUCAUCAAGAUUUAAGCUGUUAUGCAUCCAUAAAACUUAAUGCUUACUAAAUCAUUUUAACUUUCCUAUUCUUUUCAUCUUCAUUAAUAUUCCUGGUACCUAAAUAAUACAAUCCUGUCAAAGGUGUUUCAAAUUUAGCUGGUAGACUGAUACGCCUCUUAAAACACAUGACUUAGGAAACAAGCUAACCUACAUUAUGGCUGAUUGGUGCAUUGCAAAACAGAUUAAUUCCAAAUUAAAUAUAUUAGACUAUUUAAAAUAGUCCUGCUUUAAUAUUUGUAAUCAUAUCAAACUUUAAAUAUGGGAUUAUAAAGCCUGUGAUUUGACUGUACUAUACUGCAUUCUCCAUAUAGAUUUUUACAUGAAUUACUGAAAAUUUCUUGGCAAAAACUUAUUAUGUGAGCACCUUUAUAACUAAUACCACUGGGGCUUUUCCAUUUAAUGGUUAUGUGAACCGUAUGUUUAAAUACAGGUAAAAGGAGAUUUACACUUAGCAGCCAACUAAGUAACCUGGAUGUAGUCACUUAUAUUCACUGAGUAGUUGCUUGUAGAAGGGAGCGCAAACUGCAGAUCAGGUAUUUCAAGGAGCUCUCUUGGUAUAAACUUAGCCCUAGCUAAUUUGGCCAUAGGGAAUUCAUGGUCCUUCUGAUACUUGAUCAGUCCAAGCCAAACUUCCUACACAAAAGUUCAGGAUGCAGUUCCUCCUGUCUCUAUGUCUUUUUUUUUUUAUUAACUUAAGUAUUUCUUAUUUACAUUUCGAUUGUUAAUCCCUUUACCGGUUUCUGAGCCAACAUCCCCCUAACCCCUCCCACUCCCCUUCUCUAUGGGUGUUCCCCUCCCCAUCCUCCACCAUUACCACCCUCCCCCCAACAAUCACAUUCACUGGGGGGUUCAGUCUUGGCAGGACCAAGGGCUUCCCUUUCCACUGGUGCUCUUACUAGGAUAUUCAUUGCUACCUAUGAGGUUGGAGCCCAGGGUCAGUCCAUGUAUAGUCUUUGGGAAGUGGCGUAGUCCCUGGAAGCUCUGAUUGCUUGGCAUUGUUGUUCACAUGGGGUCUCGAGCCCCUCGAGCUCUUUUAGUCCUUUCUCUGAUCUUAUCUGCCUCUUAAAAUUCAGUUUGUAGCAGGUGUGCUUCCUGACCAAAGAAGUCAGAUGAGUGCAUGAGCAGCCCCUUCAAGGACAAGGCUUGGAUUCCCAGGAGCAGACAAGGAACUCUGUGGGCAUACUCCAAGGAAACUGGACCUCCUCUGUCACAGGACUUCCACUGUUUAAGCACCACCACUACCUCAGGAAGUCCACUGUCUGUGUGUCAACUCCACUGUUACAGGACCAUAAGUGUCUCAGCACUUCAACUAUCACAGCACUUCUACUGUUCAGGAGCUCAAGAGUCUCAGCAUCUCAAGUGUCACAGGACCUCCUUUGUACAAGAACUGGACUGUCCAAGCAACGCUACUAUUGCGGGACCUCCACUGUCACAGGACUUCCACUGUAGGAGCACUACAACUGUCUCAGGACACCCACUGUCCUAUAACCUCCACUAUCCCAGGAAUUCCACUGUCGUAGCACCACCCGUAGCAACUAAAGUGUUUCAGGACAUCAACUGAAGCAAGAUCUCCCAUGAUUCUGCAACUUCACUGCCACAGGAUCUCUACAGUGACAGGAAUACCCCUGUAUCAGCAAUUCCAAUUUUGCAGGACCUCCACUGUAGCAGAACCUUCAAUUGUGCAGCAGCUCCACUGUAGGUAGAUUGACCUCCAUGAUCUCAGUGCAUCGAUUUUCAAAGGACCUUCACUGUCACAGAACCGGCGCUAUUUCAGUGCCUCCACUGUCGCAGGACCUACCUCUUCACAGGAUCUGCACUGUUGCAGCAACUGUAAUUUCAAUUUUUCAAAGUCAUUGCUGGUUAUUAGAUUUAAGGCUGAAUGAAAUGUGAUGCUACUUUUGACCGCAUAAGAAUUUGUUCUAUAGCUCUUGUGAUAAAUGCCGUGUGUGCUAGGACCAGUAACCUAUGGAAGAUUUCAUGAGCUCAUACCACUCUCCACCUCACUUUGUGGAAGCUGGUGUUUUUAGAGUGUGAUAAACUUCAGGUGAAUGGAUGCAUUCAGCUGCACCACGCUCUAGAGUGGGCUACACAGCCGUCAUAUUGAGUCCUUGCUGGGAAGAGAAGAAAUCCAGAGGAGGGAGAAGGCUUGGGUUGGGGGAAGUAUCAUAAAAUACUUAGAAGAUAUAAGAAGGUAAGAAUUAUGGGGAACUGGAAAACAGAGCCAGAGGAAGAAUGAGCACAGAGCAAACUGGGAAGGACAAAGUACAAAGGCACUUGGGUUUUGCCAUCUGCAUGUUCUCUGGAAAAUCUCCCUUGGCCUCAUUUCUGGGAGAAAACUCUUCCUCCACCCCCUGUAAGGUUUCAUUCUUGAAGGAAAGCAGCAACACAACUUCAUCAGUGAAUUUCCCCAUUGGAAUUGGUUCAUCCUUUAAUGCCUCUGGGAAAUCCCCAGAUGGGGAAUGUCCUGCUCUCUGCUGAAGGACAGCAGGAAAGUAGGUUGUCCUCUGUUUUCUCGUUGCUACAGCUCUUCUAAGUAUGGCUGAUUGUUGAGUGAAGACAAAGGAUACUUCUGGUGUGUAUGUAUGCUUUGUUCACUGUGGGUGUUGUCGGAAGUGUCCUGAAAAGAAGGGCAUGCCCAAUGGUACUUCUGCUUCCUCUUUGACUAGCCUUAUGAUCAUAGGGAGACACUAGGCCAUUGGAAGAUGAGGAGAACAAUGUGUCUAUGUUGUGUUCACUUCUAUUCCUAUUUAGUCCUAGAGGGAAAUCAGCAAGGGUAGAGAAGGUGACCGUAACUGGACAAAGCUGCUGAUCCUGUGUUGUGAAGCAAUUCCUGUGUAUAACUUGAUGUUACAUUAAGCAAUAGGAUGCCAUGUUCUGUUUAUACCUUUUUGAUGCAAUGAAUCUAUAAUAUUUUACCUCAAACCUCAAUAUAUUACGUUUCUUCCUCUUUUGGAGAAUCUGGCAUGAGAGGGAUCACUUCUUCAUAAGGAUUUGUGAACCUCUUCCAGUUUUCAUUGACCAGGGGUACAUCAUCACCUCUGUGACUGUCAGCCCAUAGUUUGGAUUUACUUUCAGUAAUAGGCUAAGCUGUCUCUCCUGACAACUCACAGUGAGCAGGGUACACACCUGCUACAACUUGUCUUCUGAACUGUUGUAUGUCAACAGAGUCAAAUACAACAGUGAAAUAUAAGCCUACUCCUAAGAUCCAUAUGUUGGUUUUUUUUUUUUUUUUUGCACCACCAUAAAGUUGUCCUAGGAAGAGAUCAGGUGCACCAAUAGGGUAAGCACCAUGCUGCCAGUUCAGCAUUUGCCCAGAUUUGUCUUGAGUUGAAAGCCAAAGUCGAUGCUUUUGACUUUUCUGUUCUUCUUUAACAAAAUAUAAUCUGGUUUCAGGUCACUGUGAACUUAUACAGUGCCCAUAGCCAUAGAUAAAGCCUGCUAAUAUUUGCCUAAAUAUUUCCUUGGCUCCUUCCUCCUCUCGGUGGAAAGACUUUCAGAUGUAUUUGUAAAGCUGUAAAAUUUCAACCAGUUUCACGAUAAGUUAUUAGAAUUGUCUCAGACUCAAUUGGAGAAGCAAGAUGAUGUUGGGGUGGAUGAAAAACUUCAUUAUAUUUGCCAUGGUCAUGUUUGGCUGGCACCAUUGCUUCUUCUUUGCAUGCACUUUGAUAACCCCUGUAGCAGAACUUCCACUGUCCCAGCACCUGAACUAUCCCAAGACCUCCACAGUCAAGGACCAAUAUUGUGGUAGGGCGUCUGUGGUCAGGCAACUCCUCUGUCUCAGACCCUCCAAAUUGCAAGACCUUUACGGGCACUGGAAGUCACUGUCCAUAAACUUCCACUGUUCGAAUACCUCAACUAUAACAAGGACCUCUACUAUUGUACAACCCCCUUGUCAUAGCACGUCUAUUGUUACAAAGUAUUCCACUGUCAAAGGACCUCCAGGGUCUCAGCCUCUCCACUGUUACAGGAUCUCUACUGUCUUAGGACCACUGCUGUUGGAGGACCUCCUGUCUCUCAGCAACUUCAGUUUGUUGGAGCUCUCCUAUCAGAGGACAUUUACAUUAUCUGUACUUCCAGUGUCACAGCUGUUAUAAGAACCUCCAUUCUCACAGGACCUCCAGUGCGUCAGUACCUCCACUGUCCAAGGACUUUUAUAUUGUAGGACCUCUACUGUCCUACAGAAUGUCCACUGUCGCUAGAUUUCCACUGUCACAACACCACAACCAUUACAAGAACUGCAAUUUUGGCAUGACCUCCAGUGUUCCAGCCCCUCCAGUGUCAUAGGACCUCCACUAUCCCAGGACGUCCACUGUCUCACCAAGGCCAAUUUAAAGGACCUCUACUAUAACAGGUUAUCCACUGUAGCUGGACUUACACUGUUGCAGUACCUCAACUGUUGCAGGACCAACAAGGUUGCAGGACAUAGACCCUCUCAGCAGCUAGAAUUUGCAGGACCUCUACUGGCACACAAAUCCCACAGUUGCUGGAGCUCCACUGUCACUGCAAAUGCACUGUCUCAUGAUAUUCACUGUUGCUGGACCAGUAGUGUGGCAGUACCUCCAUUUUUGCCAAGCCCCUCCACUGACGCAAGACUUCCACUUUUGUAGCACCUUCACUGUCCAAGCAAACCAACUCCUGCAGGAUCUCCAUUGUCUCAGGGCAUUCACUAAUGCCAACUCUCCAAUGUUGUAGUACUUUUUAAAAAUUCCUCUAAAAAAGUUUACUUUGUUAUUUACAAAUUACAAUUCAGGUGUUGAGAAAAUAAAUAAGGUCAGUUUCCCCCCUAGAUACUAAGUAAAUAAAAUGUUUUUCUAGACACAAUAUAUGUAAAAGCUUGUGAAAAUGUUCAUAUAAAGCUAUUUGUGGUGGCAUGUGCAUUUAAUGCCAGCUCUAAGAAUGCAGAAAGAGGCAGAUUAUGGUUAAUUUCCGGUCCCCUCGCCUGUGUAGUGAAUUCCAGAACAGCCUCAAAUGUAUAGUGAGUCCCUGGGCUCCGUUUUGUUCUGAUUGCUUGCUCGUGUUUGCAUUUUUAGGCUAGUCAAAAAUGUAUAUAUAAGAUCACCCUAUUAUACCAAGAGCAGUUAUUAAAUAUAAGAAUUAUAGAUGCAUCCUUUGAAGCUCUUCAUCUUAGAAAGAAUGAGGGAGAGAGAAUGAAUGAGUUGGCUUGGGUUUCAGUUUCAGAUCGUUAUGGCUCAGGUAAACCCAGAGCACAGAGUGAAGUUUUUAUGAGCUUUAUUUUUCUUGGAUAAUUUAUGUAUGCACAUUUCAAACGUUAUCCCCUUCCCAUGCUCUCCCAACCCCCUGCCCCUGCUUCUAUGUGGAUGUCAGCCACCUGAGUCAUGCAGAGUUUGACCACAUGAGACUCACCCCAGGACCUAAAUGCAGUGAGUUCAAGGACUCACAUGCUAUGCUGCGUGGGCUCCUCCUUAUGCCACACCUUGACCCCAUUGCACCCUGGGCCUCCAUACCAUAAGCCAGAGUGCAGAUCCCUGGGCACAGUAGGACACACCUAGGCUAGUUUUCACUCCCAUGGAUGCUCUUGUGGCCUUAUCAGAGCACUGUGACCACAUCCCACAUCUGAACAGCAAGCUAAUCAACAGGAUGCUCUGGGAGUCCAUCAGUUUGCUUCCUCAGAGACCCCAUAAUAGAGGGGGAAGAAAUCCAGGCUUUAGGGAGCUACCACAGCCAUGAUUGUUCUUUUGUCCCAGCCACUCCACCUUUGGCCAAGUACAGCUCUGCCAGGCCCUGCCAUGUUGUCUUCAAAAUCUUUGUGUGUCAGUGAUACUUGUAUGAACUAUGCUACACGUUGGCCUAGAGGCUGGGCUUUCCUCUUGCAUUUCCAGCAAGACUACAGAGUUCCCGGGGGAGACUCUCAUGGCUCUUCAUGUUCUGACAGCACAGUCUGCAGAUGUCUCUAAGGUAUUGGACAUCAGACCCCACUGAGGAGUGAGAGGCUUUCAGUGGCUUAUAGACCCAGGGCCUGGGCAUGAUGGCCUUUAUUGUGUGUUUGAUAGCAUGUAUGCUCUGCUCCAAGUGUAGACAGACACUCCCCAUGCCUGUAGUCUGUGCUUGGAGUGUGGGUACACACUCUCCAUGCAAACAGCUGUCUACGCACACACAGAUGCCAUUUUCAUGAUUUACACCUGUUAUCUUUGAUGUUUCUUUUAAAAGACAAUCAUAUAAA